RNAcentral lists this long non-coding RNA (953 nucleotides) under Androctonus crassicauda. Lineage: Eukaryota; Metazoa; Arthropoda; Arachnida; Scorpiones; Buthidae. The record is from RNAcentral.
CUCAAGGGCAAAUAACCAGGCAGCAGCCACCAUAGAAUGAAAGGGCACCAGGAAGGCAUGCUUCUUCUUCUGUGUUCCGGGGCCCAGAGCUGCCUGCCUCUAACUCCGUUCUAUGGUUCUCUACCCUUUCUGCAAAUCACGACAACCUGACCUGAGGGAGGAUGGACCAGGCGGGUCUCGACAUCUGUUGGGCUGUACGCCAUGCUCCUUCGCACCCCUACCAACUUUCUAAGAGUUUCUCUCAUGUCCCAAACAGUCAAGGAAUGGGAACCAACAUGUUAUGGAAUCUUAAGUUCAAGCUGGCCCAACAUGGGCCUCCUGAAGCUAUGCUCACCCCACCUCUUCGUUUUAGCCACCAACUUAAAAACCAAGAUGACAGUAUUAAUCUCUCAUUCCACCCUAAACCUCUCAUCCAGCAAAGAGGUCUAGGUAGCCAGUCUUAGGUCUGCCCCCCUAUUAACUUCCAUGAUUAACUACAUUCCCUUUGCAACUUGCCUAGCCAACACUGGGGCUGACAGAUCCUGAAAGGGCAGGAUGGCGUGUGACAGAAACCCUGGGAGAGUUAUUGUUGGGCAUGCCCCAUUAACCUCAGUAAAGCACAGGUGCCCAGGGCCAAGCAGAUCGAGGGAGCCAAAGCAGUCACUCCCAGGAGCGAUGCCCACUUUUCUUCCUUUGGUAUGACGCAUACAGAAUGGGAUGACAUUCCUUAUACCUGACAAGAAACAAAACUGAAACCCCAACAGCACAUGUGCUCCAGUGCCAGGAGGCCAGGGUCUGGAAUGGCAUGUCUAGUCCUGGAGGUACAGUCCAGUGACCUGUAAGUGCCAUGUAAGGAAUGUUACCGGAUAUUUGCAACAGUUUUCUUCCUUAGGCCCCAAACCCCAGACUUUUCUAUGAAGUCUUAGAUUUUUUAACUAUUAGAAACAAAUUGUUUUUUAUAUACUGUUCAGGCC